This 85-nucleotide transfer RNA is filed under the name Felis catus (domestic cat). It matches the Rfam family "tRNA". From Rfam's summary of the family: Transfer RNA (tRNA) molecules are approximately 80 nucleotides in length. Their secondary structure includes four short double-helical elements and three loops (D, anti-codon, and T loops). Lineage: Eukaryota; Metazoa; Chordata; Mammalia; Carnivora; Felidae. The record is from Rfam by way of RNAcentral.
GCCUGGGUGGCUCAGUCGGUUAAGCGUCUGACUUCAGCUCAGGUCACUAUCUUGCCCUCUGUGAGUUCGAGCCCCACGUCAGGCU